This is a non-coding RNA of Cyanistes caeruleus (blue tit), 1878 nucleotides long. The record is from RefSeq and is a predicted model, not a curated record. NCBI's taxonomy places the organism in Eukaryota, Metazoa, Chordata, Aves, Passeriformes, Paridae.
GGCUGAGGGCGGGCCGAGGCUGAGGUUUGGGCUGCCUGAUCGCUGUCCCUCUCGGAAUGAAGGUGUCAAUUUCAGGAGAUCGGCAUGAGCAAGAAGUGAAAUUGUUUGGAAAGAUGCAAAUGCAAUUGAGUCAUUCCCACACCCUGAGGUUCUGGAGAGGUGGAAGAUAGGGCUGGAUAACGACUCACUUCCAAAUUUCCUGUGUGAGAGGUGAUAAUGAGACUUCACAUGCUGCACAAGCAAGUGUUAGAGCUGUGUGUAUCUGAAUGGCACAGAACUGGCUGUUCCACGUUGUACCAGUGCAUAAAACAGCCUGCUUUGUACAGCACUCUUCUUUUCACCAAGUUAUCACUGAAUGUGGAACAAACUGCUAAAGGAUCCUGGAAAAGCCAAUGCCUAAAUGUGUGUCAAUGGAGGAUUCAGUGGGAAAUAGGCCUGUUGUUGGCUAGUAAAGCAAUGGUCCAGAUACAACUUCUAGCUCAGGAAAUUCUUCAACUACCUUGAGCCAGGUACGUCACAAGCAGGGCUUGAGUGCCAAAAUUGUUUUGGGAACCACAUUUCAACCAACUUACCGAUUUCCAAUGAGUCUUUGGGCAUUUCUGUUCUGUUUAGGGGAAAGAGCUGUGGGCUAGUGAAUGCUGAACUGAAAUGGUAAAUUUAGGGUUCCCCAUGGACAUGGUGUACCAGUCUGGAAUCAGGGUACCUGUGCUCAUAGGAGCAAUCCCUCUCUGCUGGUCUGCCUUACCGCAGUGUUUCCUGGCUGCUGUGAAGUUCCAGGCAAAGCUCAGGCCCAGCUUUAAGCUUCUCUUAAAGUUACCUUGCCAUUCGUGACCUGUUUGAGACUCAUCCUCACCCAGAGAUGCAGACAGCUUGCCCGUACACCAAUACACAGGGGUCUGCAGUUUAGUGGCUCUUUUAACAGAACCAUAAGGAGAUGCACACAAAGACCAAGUGGAGAUCAAUACAGAAGAGGAAAGUUCAGAAACUUAGCUCUUAGAUGCACAAUGUACCCAACAUUUCUUACUGUCAGUGGGCUCUUCACCACAGAGAGCUUCAAUAAACAGUGAAAUUGUGGUGUGCUAAAUUCUACUGGAAAGCUGUAUAAACGUUUUCAUAAAUCAAAGCAUGACAGGCUGGAAUUUAUUUAGCACCACAAAAACAGAUAAAUGAACAGAAUUGGUUAUAUAAAUCAUAUAUACACUGUCCUCACAGAGAAAGGGUCAUGCAGAAUAUGUAAUGCCCUCCCACAUUUGCCUUGGUCAUCAAGUCACUUUGAAACUAUGCAUGAGCAGCAAUUCCCUUAUAAGCCAGAAAUAGGGAUUUGCUUCAAAGCUUCCUAAAGUUAGCAUCUAUAUCUAAAAAACCCAUCUAUUAACUUAUCAAAGUUCAGAACAAUAUGCUUUUGGGAAGUCUGAUGAACAGAUAGUGCUUUUUAGAAGGGAACAGCAGUGCUUAAAGGAGAAGAAAAAGAGUGGGGGAAAGGCAGGUGUGCAGUCUAUCAGGCUUUUCUUGCUGAGUCUAAAGGGUAUAGCAGUGUAAAACAAACUCUACAAUCACUCAGGAUUUCUAGAUCUUAUUUUUAUAGGAAAUAGGGUACAAAUCACAUCUCACACAACUUUCUGGAGCUUUCCUAGAGCCUUCAGCAGGCCAAGGGUGAAUAACAUUUUCUCCUACAAGGCUGAAUAUGCAGACGAACACAUCAUGGGUGCUUAUUUCCUUUGGUAUUGUGAUACCACGUGGAGAACUUAUCACCUUGCUGCUAAUAGGAGAGCCAACAUAAAAAUGUAACACCUGCAAACAACUUACAAGCACAUGUAAAUUAAUUACAUCUUCACAAAAAACCUUGAAUUCAUAGUAAUUGAUGUCAGACUCCUUGUA